GAUGAACGCUGGCGGCGUGCCUAAUACAUGCAAGUCGAGCGAACGGACGAGAAGCUUGCUUCUCUGAUGUUAGCGGCGGACGGGUGAGUAACACGUGGAUAACCUACCUAUAAGACUGGGAUAACUUCGGGAAACCGUAGCUAAUACCGGAUAAUAUUUUGAACCGCAUGGUUCAAAAGUGAAAGACGGUCUUGCUGUCACUUAUAGAUGGAUCCGCGCUGCAUUAGCUAGUUGGUAAGGUAACGGCUUACCAAGGCAACGAUGCAUAGCCGACCUGAGAGGGUGAUCGGCCACACUGGAACUGAGACACGGUCCAGACUCCUACGGGAGGCAGCAGUAGGGAAUCUUCCGCAAUAGGCGAAAGCCUGACGGAGCAACGCCGCGUGAGUGAUGAAGGUCUUCGGAUCGUAAAACUCUGUUACUAGGGAAGAACAUAUGUGUAAGUAACUGUGCACAUCUUGACGGUACCUAAUCAGAAAGCCACGGCUAACUACGUG
This 497-nucleotide ribosomal RNA is filed under the name uncultured bacterium. RNAcentral describes it as "partial 16S ribosomal RNA". It matches the Rfam family "Bacterial small subunit ribosomal RNA", at positions 28 to 507 of the family's 1533-position model. The record is from RNAcentral.